RNAcentral lists this ribosomal RNA (452 nucleotides) under uncultured organism. RNAcentral describes it as "partial 16S ribosomal RNA". It matches the Rfam family "Bacterial small subunit ribosomal RNA", at positions 333 to 801 of the family's 1533-position model. The record is from RNAcentral.
ACACUCCUGCGGGAGGCAGCAGUGGGGAAUAUUGGACAAUGGGCGCAAGCCUGAUCCAGCCAUGCCGCGUGAGUGAUGAAGGCCCUAGGGUUGUAAAGCUCUUUCACCGGUGAAGAUAAUGACGGUAACCGGAGAAGAAGCCCCGGCUAACUUCGUGCCAGCAGCCGCGGUAAUACGAAGGGGGCUAGCGUUGUUCGGAUUUACUGGGCGUAAAGCGCACGUAGGCGGACUAUUAAGUCAGGGGUGAAAUCCCGGGGCUCAACCCCGGAACUGCCUUUGAUACUGGUAGUCUUGAGUUCGAGAGAGGUGAGUGGAAUUCCGGGUGUAGAGGUGAAAUUCGUAGAUAUUCGGAGGAACACCAGUGGCGAAGGCGGCUCACUGGCUCGAUACUGACGCUGAGGUGCGAAAGCGUGGGGAGCAAACAGGAUUAGAUACCCGGGUAGUCCCAUGAU